Molecule: non-coding RNA, 1395 nt
Organism: Tachysurus vachellii
Lineage: Eukaryota; Metazoa; Chordata; Actinopteri; Siluriformes; Bagridae
Source: the annotation of a RefSeq genome assembly
CUAGCAGAUAUUGUACCAUUCUGAAAGUUAUGAGAGGCCCCUCAUAGGUUAUACAGAGGAAAGCUUUGUCUUUUCCAGUCUCUAAUAGACGAGGGGCCUCAAACACUGAUAGCCAUCAGUGCCUUUAAGAUGUUGCAGUUUAUGUCAGGCCUUGUGUCAGUGUGACAGUUUUGCUGAUUUGAAAUUUGGACCGGGGACGAGAGUAACAGUUCUAGAGCCCAACAUGACCAUCACCCCUCCAACUGUAACCUUGAUGCCACCUUCUCCAAAAGAACUCUGCAAUGCACAGGGAAGAAAAGGCAAAGUAACUUUGGUCUGCUUAGCCACACAUUUUUAUCCCGAUCAUGUUAGCAUUGUUUGGCAAGUAAAUGAACUAGAGAGAAAUAAUAGUGUUGCAACCGACCAUAUAGCACAACAAAAUAUAAACACAAGGUUUUACAGUAUGUCCAGCAGAUUGCGUGUCAAUCAUGCUGAGUGGACCAACGUCAAAAACAAAUUCAGUUGCAUCAUUUCUUUCUACAAUGGAAGUGAAUACGAGAAGAUUCAAACCCACAUCACAUAUUCACCAGGGAAAAUACCAGUGAGGGUGUAUCUCAUGGUGAAAUUUGGCUACAUGAUUUUUAUUAGCAAAAGUCUGCUGUAUGCUGUAUUUGUCAGCAUUUUGGUGUGGAUGUGCAAGGCUUCAAAAGAGAAGACAGUGAUGACAGAAAAUGGAGACAUCAUGAUGAACUAAGUAAUAUUUAGCAAAUUUGCCUAUAAAACUACCAAACGGUCACAAAAAUGUUAGCUAAUGUACAUAUUUGCAUUAUGCAGCUUUAAAAGAUUUGAUUUUAGAUCAUUAGUGAUAAGUCUGCUAAUUACAAGUAUGCUAAUAUAUCCUUUGUGGCUGUACAACCAUACUAUGUAGUCUUUCAUUGUUUGCUGUACAAUUCUUACCUUGCAAUAUAAUUUUCCCUUAACGUCGCUUAGCAGAUUAUUUGCUAUAGAAGAAACCAUGAACGGAAGUAAUUAACGGCUAUGUUUGAUCUUCAAGUCUGUCGUGUUGAACACAUUAUUUAAUGAUUGCAGUUGAUAACUGGCUUAAAAAGUAAAAGUUCUGAACUGAGGCACUAUUACAUAGUUUUUCUUAGUUAAUCAUUGUUAGGAACCGUAGAGUCAUUUUUGCAAAUUUAUAUAGAAUUAGUUUUAGUCAUUGAUUCCGUAAACAGCAGUAACUGUUAGUUAACAUUUAAAAAAACGUUGAUUAAUACACGUGUUAUCUUACUGUGUUACUUGUAUAACCAUUACAAUUUGUUGAUAUUAUCUCAUGCAAUAAGUAACGUCAGGGAAAGUAAGUGAACCUUAAUGUACAUAUGUUUCUUACUUUCAAGAGAACAAUAAAGUAACUAAAGCUGC